UUAAAAAACGUUUAUUCCAGUUUCAAAAUUCCGGCUCAAGAAGACUUUGUAGAGGAAGCUUUUCCUACCUGCCAGAAAUGAAUGCCCUUCUUCUGCCCCCGAAGUCUGACAUUCUGCCAGAACAGAAGCGUCGAGGGAACAGGUCCUAGUCUGUAACCCUGCAACCCCACAGACUAGUGCAAGGGGCCAAUAAUGCAGUUUUCUCCGAGAAAGAUGCAGUUGCCUACCUCUCCCUCCCUUGGUGAGGUGUUACCUGGAGAAUUUAAUAAACCCAACAAAAGGCAUCAUCCCUACUGCAAUGCCAAUGUGGAGGCCUUCUGACCCUGGGAGCCGCAAACAUUGAAACAUUACCUGGGGAAGUAACUCAAGGGAAGUUUCUUGCUCACCAGAAAUACAAGGGUCAGUCACAAGGUGUAGCCUCUUGUUCUUGAGAAAGAAGUUUUCAUUGUUCUCUUUGCUUCUCUCUAUGCAUUUGUGUGAAAUCCUGUCCAGACUUGGAAGUCACUUCUCCCUGACAUACUUCCAAGCAUGAACCAGUGCUACAGCGGACCAGAGAGGGGAGGGAGCCCCAUGAAUCUGGUCAACUGGACCGUGCUUUCCAGAGAAAGGGAAGCGGAGACCUGGGGCCUGGGACUUGGUAAACCUGAAAGAAUAUGAAGAAUCUAGAAGUUCCAGCGAGCCAUACAAUCCAGAAUUUUGUCUUUGACAGUGGACCUGAAGAGCACCCUUUUUGGGAGAGUUAACUCAUCUCCUGGUCUUCUAGACCCAUCUACCCCAUAAUAACCCAUAAUGAAAUGUUUGUUUAGUCGAUUAAUAAGUAUACCCCUCAUGUGAAAAUGGAUGCUUUUCAAUAGUACUAAUAAAUAAUUUUCAUACCUCUUUGGAAUAUAAA
Molecule: long non-coding RNA, 892 nt
Organism: Suricata suricatta (meerkat)
Lineage: Eukaryota; Metazoa; Chordata; Mammalia; Carnivora; Herpestidae
Exons: 3
Source: RefSeq, a predicted model, not a curated record